This 301-nucleotide ribosomal RNA is filed under the name uncultured bacterium. RNAcentral describes it as "partial 16S ribosomal RNA". It matches the Rfam family "Bacterial small subunit ribosomal RNA", at positions 509 to 807 of the family's 1533-position model. The record is from RNAcentral.
CAGUAGCCGCGGGAAUACAGAGGCCUCAAGCGUUGUUCGGAUUCAUUGGGCGUAAAGGGUGCGUAGGUGGCUUGGUAAGUUGAAGGUGAAAUCUCGGGGCUUAACCCCGAAACUGCCUUCAAUACUGCUAGGCUCGAGGACUGUAGAGGAGAAUGGAAUUCACGGUGUAGCAGUGAAAUGCGUAGAUAUCGUGAGGAAGACCAGUGGCGAAGGCGAUUCUCUGGGCAGUUCCUGACACUGAGGCACGAAGGCCAGGGGAGCAAACGGGAUUAGAUACCCCCGUAGUCCCUGUCUCUUAUAC